AACAGGGGUGCCUUCGGGCUGAGAUGAACAAGCUUCGCGCGUUCAAACCCUCGAACCUGAAAUGGAUCAUACCAGCGUAGGGAGUUUUU
RNAcentral lists this non-coding RNA (89 nucleotides) under bovine gut metagenome. Its description in RNAcentral is "TPP riboswitch (THI element)". It matches the Rfam family "TPP riboswitch aptamer (THI element)", at positions 8 to 91 of the family's 105-position model. Rfam says of the family: Vitamin B(1) in its active form thiamin pyrophosphate (TPP) is an essential coenzyme that is synthesised by coupling of pyrimidine and thiazole moieties in bacteria. The previously detected thiamin-regulatory element, thi box was extended, resulting in a new, highly conserved RNA secondary structure, the THI element, which is widely distributed in eubacteria and also occurs in some archaea. The record is from RNAcentral.